Molecule: ribosomal RNA, 468 nt
Filed under: uncultured bacterium
Lineage: Bacteria
Description: partial 16S ribosomal RNA
Rfam family: Bacterial small subunit ribosomal RNA
Source: RNAcentral
GACGAACGCUGGCGGCGUGCUUAACACAUGCAAGUCGAACGGAAGGGCCCUGCUUUUGUGGGUUGCUCGAUUGGCGAACGGGUGAGUAACACGUGUGUAACCUGCCCUUGACUUUGGGAUAACUUCAGGAAACUGGGGCUAUUAUCGGAUAUGAGCUCCUGCUGCAUGGUGGGGGUUGGAAAGUUUCGGCGGUUGGGGCUCGACUCGCGGCUUAUCAGCUUGUUGGUGGGGUAGUGGCUUACCAAGGCUGUGACGGAUAGCCGGCCUGAGAGGGGGACCGGGGACAUGGGGACUGAGAGACGCAGCAGACGGCAACGGGAGGCAGUAGGGGGAAGUAUUGCGCAGUGGGGGGAAGUCUGAGGCAGCAACGUUGGGAGCGGGAUGAUGGGUUACUGGGGAUAAACCGCUGUCGCCGGUGACGAACCGUGAGUGACGGUAAUGGGUAAGGAAGCAACGGCUAACUACGUG